This 301-nucleotide ribosomal RNA is filed under the name Mammaliicoccus sciuri. RNAcentral describes it as "bacterial LSU rRNA". It matches the Rfam family "Bacterial large subunit ribosomal RNA", at positions 1830 to 2130 of the family's 2925-position model. The record is from RNAcentral. Lineage: Bacteria; Bacillati; Bacillota; Bacilli; Caryophanales; Staphylococcaceae.
ACUGUAAGGUGAUGUAUAGGUGAUGACGCCUGCUCGAUGCUUGAAGGUUAAGAGGAAUGAUUAGCUUCUGCGAAGCUACGAAUCGAAGCCCAAGUAAACGGCUGCCGUAACUAUAACGGUCCUAAGGUAGCGAAAUUCCUUGUCGGGUAAGUUCCGACCCACACGAAAGGCGUAACGAUUUGGGCACUGUCUCAACGAGAGACUCAAUGAAUUCAUAGUACCUGUGAAGAUGCAGGUUACCCGCGACAGGACGGAGAGACCCCGUGGAGCUUUACUGUAGCCUGAUAUUGAAAUUUGGCAC